GGUGAUUCUUCGCACACCAGCGGAAGCCUUUGCAGCCGGAAACGGUAGCUGCGCGACUCUAAACAAGACAGCUUUUUGCAAGUCAGCCUACCACAGCUGGCGACACUUUCGAAUUGACGGGGACACCCUAACGCCCUUCACACCAACCCAGUUGGGGAAACCUACUGGCGGCCCGUGGGAAAACCACGGGGUACGGUAACAGAGGAAGGAAUGAUCCAGCGCCUUUGGGCACUGGUGAAAUGGGCUACCCGCAGCGAAGCUCCUGCCGCCUACAUGCGCCGCACAGCGUACCAGGCGAGGAGAACGUUCACAGACUAGGCGGAAGUGGGUGGGGCUCAGCGCCCUGCUUAAGAUAUAGUCGGGCCUCGAGGGAAACUUCGGGGACGUACAGCAACCGUUCCGUAGGUGAACCUGCGGAAGGAUCAUUACCUGGCCUUGGGCCGCUCGCGGUAGCUAGUCGCUCGCGACGACGCUGCCGAGGGUGCUUAGCCCUUGACUAUUACCUUGACUACGUGCACCUUUGUUGUUUCCUCGGCAGGUCAUCUGCCGCCAGGAACCCCCUAAACCUUUGCAAACAGCAUUCAAACUUCUGAAAACAAACCAAAUUAUUUACAACUUUUAACAAUGGAUCUCUUGGUUCUGGCAUCGAUGAAGAACGCAGCGAAAUGCGAUAAGUAGUGUGAAUUGCAGAAUUCAGUGAAUCAUCGAAUCUUUGAACGCACAUUGCGCCCCAUGGUAUUCCGUGGGGCAUGCCUGUUCGAGCGUCAUUUACCCCCUCAAGCUCCGCUUGGUGUUGGGCGUUUGUCCCGCUUCGCGCGCGGACUCGCCUCAAAGGUAUUGGCAGCGGUCGUGCCAGCUUCUCGCGCAGCACAUUGCGCUUCUCGAGGCACCGGCGGGCCCGCGUCCAUCAAGCUCCACCCCCAGUUGACCUCGGAUCAGGUAGGGAUACCC
Molecule: ribosomal RNA, 951 nt
Filed under: uncultured Pleosporales
Lineage: Eukaryota; Fungi; Ascomycota; Dothideomycetes; Pleosporales
Description: eukaryotic LSU rRNA
Rfam family: 5.8S ribosomal RNA (bases 614-767)
Source: RNAcentral